Molecule: long non-coding RNA, 403 nt
Filed under: Brassica rapa (field mustard)
Lineage: Eukaryota; Viridiplantae; Streptophyta; Magnoliopsida; Brassicales; Brassicaceae
Description: long non-coding RNA (BRAP_LNC000142)
Source: RNAcentral
CCACUUCUGACGUACAAAAAUCUCCGUUGCAUUGCCCUGUGGCUGUGAAUCACUAGAUUCACUACUCUUAUAUAUCUCGUUGGUUGAAUCAUUUUUCGGUAAGUAAUACGUACGUAUAUUUACUAAAUUUCUAUCUUAUCAAAAUAAUAAAAUAGAUUAGGCAGUGGUUAUCAAACUAUCGUACAACUUGUGCCUCAUGUCUUCUUUGUUAAUCAUGGUCCCCAGAUAAAAUGUAACACACACAAGUCCCAAGUGUUUGUUUGCGUGUGAUUAAGACUAACCCUAAUGGCAGAAAAACAAAUAAAAUAUUUUACGGUUGCUCGUCAACAAAAAUGCAUCUCUUUUGUCAAAAAAAAAAAACAAAAUGUAUCUCUAAAUAUACAUAAGCGGAAGGACACUGCCG